GACCCAUGCCAUUGUUGGAUGGGCUGCCAAAAAAUUCUCGACUGCAGUAUUUUUCUUAUAUGAACAAAUCCAUCCUGAUGAUGCUUUUGGAGAGCAAAUGAUAAAAAAAUCUUGAGAGUCGAGGAUGCCCUCUCCUUGGUAUACGUGCUACACCGAGCUUACAAUCUAAGCAGAAACUCUUCGUUGAUCAUGGAUGGCAGAGAGCUGUUGCAUGGGAUAUGCUGCAGAUAUAUAAUGAAUUUAUCGAAAUUCAAGAAAAACACAGUGUGAAAUUUAGAAAUGUUAUUUUGUUUGCUACAUGCUAGAGGAAGAAAAUGAGCACCAAGAUUUGUCUUCACAUAAGAUUUUCUCAUGGUUCAUAUUCUGUCAUUUCCCUCUUGGUUUUUUGCAUUUCUUUACUUCACUACUAUUCUUAUCAUCGCCAGACAAACUCCUUACCAUGCACGGCUGCAUAACAAAAUGGGUAGUUGUUCAAGUUAUAAUAUUAGAGUCGUUUGUAUACAUUUUAGGCAUGAUUACUGAGCACUAUAUGGGAUCCGCACGAAAACAUCAUUCGGGUCGGUACAGGCCCUGAAUCGAUCCAUAUCGGCCUAAAUUGUACCCUACCACCCGAUAUUGUCCAAAACUGGGGUGUGUCACAUAUCGACCCAUACUGCCCAGUUUCAGAUGGUACCAUGAUAAAAAGUGAGAAAUGGGGUCGGGAG
Molecule: non-coding RNA, 704 nt
Organism: Phoenix dactylifera (date palm)
Lineage: Eukaryota; Viridiplantae; Streptophyta; Magnoliopsida; Arecales; Arecaceae
Source: RefSeq, a predicted model, not a curated record